Molecule: ribosomal RNA, 564 nt
Filed under: uncultured Glomeromycotina
Lineage: Eukaryota; Fungi; Glomeromycota
Description: SSU rRNA
Rfam family: Eukaryotic small subunit ribosomal RNA
Source: RNAcentral
UUGGAGGGCAAGUCUGGUGCCAGCAGCCGCGGUAAUUCCAGCUCCAAUAGCGUAUAUUAAAGUUGCUGCAGUUAAAAAGCUCGUAGUUGAAUUUCGGGACCAUCAUGUCGGUCGUGCCUCGGUACGUACUGGCAUUGUUGGUUUCUCCCUUCUGACGAACCAUGAUGUCAUUUAUUUGGUGUUGUGGGGAAUCAGGACUGUUACUUUGAAAAAAUUAGGGUGUUUAAAGCAGGCUCACGCUUGAAUACAUUAGCAUGGAAUAAUGAAAUAGGACGUUUGAUUCUAUUUUGUUGGUUUCUAGGAUCGACGUAAUGAUUAAUAGGGAUAGUUGGGGGCAUUAGUAUUCAAUUGUCAGAGGUGAAAUUCUUGGAUUUAUUGAAGACUAACUACUGCGAAAGCAUUUGCCAAGGAUGUUUUCAUUAAUCAAGAACGAAAGUUAGGGGAUCGAAGACGAUCAGAUACCGUCGUAGUCUUAACCAUAAACUAUGCCGACUAGGGAUCGGAUGAUGUUAAUUUUUUAAUGACUCAUUCGGCGCCUUACGGGAAACCAAAGUGUUUGGGUUC